GAAAAAACGAGGCCAUUACGUAUGUGAAGCCAUCUUCGUAGCCAUUUGUUGAAAAAUUAACGAAUUAUUCUAAUUAGCAUAAACGAAAAAUUCAUGAAACAUGCAUGCAUGUAAUUAACGAAUCACGUAAAACUCCAAUCCUACUGUGGAAGACUGUCCUCGUAGAUUUCAAAAAUGAAAAGUCGAACGCGAUAACCGUAAAAAAAUCUUAAAAAUUGCUAUAUAAAAAUGUAAGAAUAUUAAGGGUUGGUAUGAAAGAAAUUGAUUUAAUAAAAUAGAUGCAUGAUCUCUAAUAUUUUUUGUAUUGAAAUGAAAAACUUUUUAUAUAGUUGAUAAUUAGUAAUUUCCGUUUUAAUAAAAAUAUCUCCUAAUUAUACUGUUGCUAUGGGUAAUAUUCUUUAUCUCAAGAUCUCGUUCCGACAGAUUGCACAAAACUAUAGCGUUAAAAAACUAAGAACAUGUAUGACUACAAAAAAAUGAUAAACGAAGAAAAAAGAACAAUAGAACGGGGUAAGAUGUCACGAGAUUAAAGACUUAUAUAAGGGAAAACUAUAAUACAAUAGAGGUACAAAGCGUUAAAUAUUAAGAGUUUUAUUGGAUUGUAUAUAUAGAUAUCUGUUAUAAUGCUCUUUUACGUUUGUUUGUUUAUAAAUUACGUUUGCACCUUGUGUAUGUAGUAAUAAAUACUUUAUUUCAAUCACAUUGGUCGUUAUUUUUAAUAUUUAAAAAAUAUAUACAAAAAUAUUUACAAAGAAAGAAAGCAGCGUUUGUCACGCUAAUAAUAUAGUCGAUAGAAAAAUAAAUUCAUAGUUCUACUUAUAACCAGGAUGGGGAGCUCAGUUUAUAAAAUGUGUGGUUCAUAAAUUAAGGAAGAAAUGAUAUAUUUAAAAAAUUGCUGUAUCUGUUCUACUGGAACGAUUCGUAAAGUGAACAUAAUGAUUUUGGGCAUAGUUCGUAGGCAUUAUUGUAAAAAUCCAUUGAUAUUACGUGAUAAGAAUUAUUUUUACUUAUUCAUUAAACACGAAUCUCUUAUGUGUUUAGAUUCGCGAUUUGCGGGGCGACUUUAUAUUUCUAUUAAUCACUUUGCUUAGUCGCUAAAUAGCAAUAACCUUUAUAUAAUGAAAAUUCCAUCCCGAUUUGUUUAAUUACUUAUUAAGAAUUUUCACAAAAUAUUUAAACUAUGCCUGGAAACAAAUUAAUAAUGAGGUUGUGAUAUCAUCGCAUGUUCGUAUUUAAACGAAAAUUUAGUGUUCGACAUAAACGAAAUAGAACAUAAAGCUGUCCAGGUAUUUCAAGGCUGAGUUUUGAAACUUAUGAACUUUGAUAUCAUGAAAUGUUUUUAGCUUUACAGUGAACAUUGUGAAAAUAUGUUUAUAAGUACAUCAAUUUUCAAAACAUUCGCCCAUUGUCAU
Long non-coding RNA from Bombus terrestris (buff-tailed bumblebee), 1412 nucleotides. RefSeq lists it as uncharacterized. The transcript has 2 exons. The record is from RefSeq and is a predicted model, not a curated record. NCBI's taxonomy places the organism in Eukaryota, Metazoa, Arthropoda, Insecta, Hymenoptera, Apidae.